Rattus norvegicus (Norway rat) is the source of this 493-nucleotide non-coding RNA. NCBI's taxonomy places the organism in Eukaryota, Metazoa, Chordata, Mammalia, Rodentia, Muridae. The record is from RefSeq and is a predicted model, not a curated record.
UUUGUGCAGCAGCCUUAUAUGUAUCAAGAUGCAUUUUAUUAAGUCUUCAUGGGUAUCUGGGACCUGGUAGAGUUAGUGGGACUUGGGAGUAGGAAUGGGAGAAAGGGCCAUCAUAAUCUUACUAUGCAGACUGUAUUUCCAGAAACCUGCUCAGCCAGCUCCUGAUGGAGAACACAUGUAGGAAGAAGUUGGUCCCACUGAAGCAGGAGAACAAGGAGGUACAUCUUGAUUGUGCACUGAACCAGAAAUAUUUGGUUGACUUCAACAAGAAAGAUAAAGACCAGCAACGGCCUGAACCAGCAUUAUCAGGUCUCAGAAAGUGAAAGAGAGCUGGAAUUGGACACACCCCAGUAAGAGAGCUUUUUGAAGAAUAAGUUGCUUUCUCAGGAGUCCCUGAUGACCAACAUCCUGAAUGAAAACAGCACUUGAGAGACAACUUGUGGGACCGCCUUUCAUUAUGUGUGCUAGAGGAGAAACAGCAAUAUGUCUGUGC